RNAcentral lists this unclassified non-coding RNA (377 nucleotides) under uncultured Parachlamydiaceae bacterium. RNAcentral's name for it is "contains 16S-23S intergenic spacer region". The record is from RNAcentral. Lineage: Bacteria; Pseudomonadati; Chlamydiota; Chlamydiia; Parachlamydiales; Parachlamydiaceae.
UCCUGGUUAACCCAGGCAGUCUCAUUAGAGUUCCCACCUUAAAUGUUGGCAACUAAUGAUAAGGGUUGCGCUCGUUGCGGGACUUAACCCAACACCUCACGGCACGAGCUGACGACAGCCAUGCAGCACCUGUGCAGCGGCCCCGAAGGGAGAUUCCAUUUCUGGAACUGUCCACUGCAUGUCAAGUCUGGGUAAGGUUCUUCGCGUUGCAUCGAAUUAAACCACAUGCUCCACUGCUUGUGCGGGUCCCCGUCAAUUCUUUUGAGUUUCAGCCUUGCGACUGUACUCCCCAGGCGGUAUACUUAACGCGUUAGCUUCGGCACAACUAGGGUUGAGUCCAGUUACACCAAGUAUACAUCGUUUACGGCAAGGACUAC